UCUUCCGCAAUGGACGAAAGUCUGACGGAGCAACGCCGCGUGAGUGAUGAAGGUUUUCGGAUCGUAAAGCUCUGUUGCCAGGGAAGAACGUCCGUUAGAGUAACUGCUAACGGAGUGACGGUACCUGAGAAGAAAGCCCCGGCUAACUACGUGCCAGCAGCCGCGGUAAUACGUAGGGGGCGAGCGUUGUCCGGAAUUAUUGGGCGUAAAGCGCGCGCAGGCGGCUGUUUAAGUCUGGUGUUUAAUCCUGGGGCUCAACCCCGGGUCGCACUGGAAACUGGACAGCUUGAGUGCAGAAGAGGAGAGUGGAAUUCCACGUGUAGCGGUGAAAUGCGUAGAGAUGUGGAGGAACGCCAGUGGCGAAGGCGACUCUCUGGGCUGUAACUGACGCUGAGGCGCGAAAGCGUGGGGAGCAAAC
RNAcentral lists this ribosomal RNA (418 nucleotides) under uncultured bacterium. RNAcentral describes it as "bacterial SSU rRNA". It matches the Rfam family "Bacterial small subunit ribosomal RNA", at positions 362 to 773 of the family's 1533-position model. The record is from RNAcentral.